GAUGAACGCUGGCGGCGUGCUUAACACAUGCAAGUCGAACGAAGCACUGUAUUUGAUUUCCUUCGGGACUGAUUAUUUUGUGACUGAGUGGCGGACGGGUGAGUAACGCGUGGGUAACCUGCCUUGUACAGGGGGAUAACAGAUGGAAACGGCUGCUAAUACCGCAUAAGCGCACAGCAUCGCAUGAUGCAGUGUGAAAAACUCCGGUGGUAUAAGAUGGACACGCGUUGGAUGAGCUAGUUGGUGAGGUAACGGCCCACCAAGGCGACGAUCCAUAGACGACAUGAGAGGGUGACCGGACACACUGGCGCUGAGACACGGUCCAAAAUCCUCCGCGAGGCAGCAGUGGGUAAUAUUGCAACAUGGGCGAAAGGCUGAUGCAGCGACGACGCGUGAGCGAAGAAGUAUUUCGGUAUGUAAAGCUCUAUCAGCAGGGCAGAUCAUGACGGUACCUGAUUAAGAAGCACCGGCUAACUACGUG
This 481-nucleotide ribosomal RNA is filed under the name uncultured bacterium. Its description in RNAcentral is "partial 16S ribosomal RNA". It matches the Rfam family "Bacterial small subunit ribosomal RNA", at positions 28 to 507 of the family's 1533-position model. The record is from RNAcentral.